GGGGUACUGGAGUGGUUGUAUAUACAGGUCAGUACCUUAUUCAAUGUCCAGGGUACUGGAGUGGUUGUAUAUACAGGUCAGUUCCUUAUUCAAUGUCCUGGAGGGGUGGAGGUGGGUUUAUACAUAAAAAGUGAUUGGUGGGGGGCCUCCCGGGUGGCACAGUGGUUAAGGGCGUAAAAUAAAAUACAUUUUAAAAAGUGAUUGGACGUAGGAUGCACAUAAACAUGGCUGAAAGGUGACUGGUUGGUAGCAGGAAUAUAUACAUAUUUAUGAUAAUAUAUUAACGGGAACAUAGUGAUAUUUAUUAUAAUCUGCAACAUUUCAACUUCUAAAAUACAUAGAGUCCUUGUAAUUUACAGCAUCGCUCAGUCAACAAAACAUUUGCUAAAGUUGCCCAAUUAGCGGGAGGGCUGGGGGAAAGAUCUGUGUCGCACACAGUGCUCAAGUCUAUGACGUCUGUCAGUCAAAACCCCGGCACAGGGUAUGUUACUGUAUAGCAUGUUACUGUAUAGCAUGUUACUGUAUAGCAUGUUACUGUAUAGCAUGUUACUGUAUAGCAAAGUUGGGUCGAAGCUCUGAAGACGACAGCAUUACGGUACGGCGCCAUCUUAUGGAAAACAUGGACACUGUUACAGGAGAAUAGAUUGGAUCGCAGCGGCUUUCCGCCGUGGGAAAACCAGAUGAUCUGAGAUGCAAAAUCCCAUCUAAAGUCAAGAAUCCAGUGGCUUGAUUUAUUAAAACUAAAAGUUUUUAUUUGUAAAAUUCAAAAUAAUACAUUCAGAUAAUAACAAAGGUUCCAAUAUUCAAAACAUGUGUGCCUUCACAGUAUCUCAAGCAUUUGCCCUAACCAGCAAGCCUUACUUCCUGUCUCUAAAUUCCCAAUUUACAUAUCUGGGCGGGCCCGCCAGUAUUUCUAACUGUUUCUGGCUAGAGGGCGUAAUUGACCGUUUCGCAUUUAAAUCAAAAGACCACAUAACCAAAUUAAUGUAUACACCUUAUAUAGAAUCGAAAUGAUUCUAAAUGGUGCAAUAUGACCUAAUAAACAGAUAUUUGCAUAACCAAAGAAAGAUAGAAACUGGCUCCAACAGGGGAAGAAAGAGAAGAUGGGAAUGUGCCCUGUUUCUUUGUUUGUUGUAAUUUACAACUUCAUAUAAAGCUUGGAAAUGAAAGCUUGAGAGUUAAACUGAACUGCUUCAGCAAAGACUCAUGGGAAAGGAGAAAGGAGGAGUGUGUUGGUCUGGAAAUAACAGCUGAUUAGAAAGGUUGAGAAUGAGAUUCAAAUGCAGGUUGUGUCAGUGGCCCUGCGCUACCAAAGGUUUUAAACUGGAUAUGAUCUACUAUGAAACUGAACUGCUAUAGCAAAGGAAUCCAAGCUGGACAAUUACCUAACAGCUAGUCUCUCGUGUCAUGACAGACUUCUAGGUUCCGAGACGACAGCCUUCUAGGUUCCGAGGUGACAGACUUCUAGGUUCCGAGACGACAGACUUCUAGGUUCCGAGAUGACAGACUUCUAGGUUCCGAGACGACAGACUUCUAGGUUCCGAGAUGACAGACUUCUAGGUUCCGAGAUGACAGACUUCUAGGUUCCGAGAUGACAGACUUCUAGGUUCUGAGACGACAGACUUCUAGGUUCCGAGAUGACAGACUUCUAGGUUCCGAGACGACAGACUUCUAGGUUCCGAGGUGACAGACUUCUAGGUUCCGAGGUGACAGACUUCUAGGUUCCGAGACGACAGACUUCUAGGUUCCGAGGUGACAGACUUCUAGGUUCCGAGACGACAGCCUUCUAGGUUCCGAGGUGACAGACUUCUAGGUUCCGAGACGACAGCCUUCUAGGUUCCGAGGUGACAGACUUCUAGGUUCCGAGACGACAGCCUUCCAAGAUUAGCCUUCAGAGUCUUAAAACGACAUUGUAUUUAUAAUACUGAGUCAUCAUGUUUGUUGCUUUGCAUUGCAUUCAAAUUGAAGGCUUGAAUUCUUGAUUUGCCUCUAGAAUAAACGUGGGAGUUUUAUACCAUGCCAUGGUUUUACAGCUGCUGUCUUGCCAUUGUAAUAAUAUAGCUCGUAAAUAAUUACAAUAUCAUCAUUCAAAAAUAAUCUCUUUUUAUAUGUGGUUAUUUACAGUAAUUUAUUAGCUUCAAUAGAAACAUGGGCUUCCCACAUUAUGUUAAAGAAGAACAUAAUGCCCUGCAUCUAAAUAUACUUGUAUGUUAUAUGGGUAUCUGACAUUCAUUCAAUGGAAAAUGAAGAAAUAAUAAGAUAUUGUCAAGGAAAUGUAUAGUCUUUCAUUUGUCCUGUCUAGAUAGGAAUAUCACAAGCAAAUCAGGUAUGUCUAUGGUGCAGUGUAUGUUACGCAUGAACGUGUAUACUUUGUUAGACAAUUCUGUGCAUUAUCUGUACUGCCUACUAAUGCUAUACUGUACAUCCUGAAAAGAUAAGCUACUGAGGAUUAGCUCCUGCAUUCACCACCCAUGAGUGGUCUAGCUAUAAUGUUUGUUCCCGUAGUUCAAAAUGUUGUUUUAAAUAAAAUAUUUAUACUCUU
Long non-coding RNA from Oncorhynchus tshawytscha (Chinook salmon), 2542 nucleotides. RefSeq lists it as uncharacterized. The record is from RefSeq and is a predicted model, not a curated record. NCBI's taxonomy places the organism in Eukaryota, Metazoa, Chordata, Actinopteri, Salmoniformes, Salmonidae. The transcript is spliced from 2 exons.